GUCCACGCCGUAAACGAUGGAUACUAGCUGUUGGGUGCAAACUAAGUGGCUAAGCGAAAGUGAUAAGUAUCCCACCUGGGGAGUACGUUCGCAAGAAUGAAACUCAAAGGAAUUGACGGGGGCCCGCACAAGCGGUGGAGCAUGUGGUUUAAUUCGAUGAUACGCGAGGAACCUUACCAAGGCUUAAAUGUAGAUUGACAGGUUUGGAAACAGACUUUUCGCAAGACAAUUUACAAGGUGCUGCAUGGUUGUCGU
Molecule: ribosomal RNA, 255 nt
Filed under: uncultured bacterium
Lineage: Bacteria
Description: partial 16S ribosomal RNA
Rfam family: Bacterial small subunit ribosomal RNA
Source: RNAcentral